RNAcentral lists this ribosomal RNA (497 nucleotides) under uncultured bacterium. RNAcentral's name for it is "partial 16S ribosomal RNA". It matches the Rfam family "Bacterial small subunit ribosomal RNA", at positions 28 to 507 of the family's 1533-position model. The record is from RNAcentral.
GAUGAACGCUGGCGGCGUGCCUAAUACAUGCAAGUCGAGCGAACAGACGAGGAGCUUGCUCCUCUGAAGUUAGCGGCGGACGGGUGAGUAACACGUGGAUAACCUACCUAUAAGACUGGGAUAACUUCGGGAAACCGGAGCUAAUACCGGAUAAUAUAUUGAACCGCAUGGUUCAAUAGUGAAAGACGGUUUUGCUGUCACUUAUAGAUGGAUCCGCGCCGCAUUAGCUAGUUGGUAAGGUAACGGCUUACCAAGGCAACGAUGCGUAGCCGACCUGAGAGGAUGAUCGGCCACACUGGAACUGAGACACGGUCCAGACUCCUACGGGAGGCAGCAGUAGGGAAUCUUCCGCAAUGGGCGAAAGCUUGACGGAGCAACGCCGCGUGAGUGAUGAAGGUCUUCGGAUCGUAAAACUCUGUUAUUAGGGAAGAACAAAUGUGUAAGUACCUAUGCACGUCUUGACGGUACCUAAUCAGAAAGCCACGGCUAACUACGUG